UCGAGCGAGAAGGAGACUUCGGUCUCUGAGUAGAGCGGCGCACGGGUGAGUAACGCGUGGAUGAUCUACCCUUGAGUUCGGGAUAACGGUGCGAAAGCGCCGCUAAUACCGUAUAACAAUCCAUUUCAUCGUGGGUUCAAAGCAGGCCUCUUCAUGAAAGCUUGCGCUUGGGGAUGAGUCCGCGUCCCAUUAGCUUGUUGGCGGGGUAACGGCCCACCAAGGCUACGAUGGGUAGCUGGUCUGAGAGGAUGAUCAGCCACACUGGAACUGAAACACGGUCCAGACUCCUACGGGAGGCAGCAGUGGGGAAUACUGCGCAAUGGGGGAAACCCUGACGCAGCGACGUCGUGUGAGGGAAGAAGGCCUUCGGGUCGUAAACCUCUGUCAGAAGGGAAGAACAUCCGGGAGUCGAACAGCCUCCCGGCCUGACGGUACCUUCAGAGGAAGCGCCGGCUAACUCCGUGCCAGCAGCCGCGGUAAUACGGAGGGCGCAAGCGUUAAUCGGAAUCACUGGGCGUAAAGCGUGCGUAGGCUGCUUGAUAAGUCAGACGUGAAAUCCCUCGGCUCAACCGGGGAACUGCGUUUGAUACUGUCGAGCUAGAGUCCUGGAGAGGGUGGCGGAAUUCCUGGUGUAGGAGUGAAAUCCGUAGAUAUCAGGAGGAACACCGGUGGCGAAGGCGGCCACCUGGACAGGUACUGACGCUGAGGUACGAAAGCGUGGGGAGCAAACAGGAUUAGAUACCCUGGUAGUCCACGCGGUAAACGAUGGAUGCUAGGUGUCGGGGAGCGAUCUUCGGCGCCGCAGCUAACGCAUUAAGCAUCCCGC
RNAcentral lists this ribosomal RNA (826 nucleotides) under uncultured bacterium. RNAcentral's name for it is "bacterial SSU rRNA". It matches the Rfam family "Bacterial small subunit ribosomal RNA", at positions 62 to 872 of the family's 1533-position model. The record is from RNAcentral.